Molecule: long non-coding RNA, 7303 nt
Organism: Apis cerana (Asiatic honeybee)
Lineage: Eukaryota; Metazoa; Arthropoda; Insecta; Hymenoptera; Apidae
Source: RefSeq, a predicted model, not a curated record
CCAAUAUCUUCUGCAGAAUUCUGCAAAUCUUGUAAACGAAGAGUGCCCUGUAGAGCACCCAAUGUCUCUUCGUUUUGAUUAUCUGUUAAGGUGUCUUCAUUGGUUAGAACACCUAAAGAUCCGGUACAGAGACCAGAAGAAAUAUUAUGGCUCACCUGUGCCAAGGGUGUACGGCGAUUCGGAGGUGUUCACCGUGUGGUGAUUCUGCAGAAACUCCAUCUCUGCGAAAUUUCUGCUCGUAACCGCCCUUAGAGACAACCCCUUUCCCCGCCUCGAUAAAAUACGCGGACGGAUUGCCUCCUCUCUGUAGAGAUGUGGUCCAGCCCCUCUGGUCUCCCUAGCAACCGCACAUUGCUCCAACUUGAAUGUUGAAUAAGAUAAUAAGAUUUGGAAAAUUAUAAAAGUAAGUAUUUUUUUUUUAUUUUUUUUUUUAAAGGAAAGGAAUCUAAAAAUUUGCAUUGCUACUCUUAUGUUAGUUUUGUUAGUUAUUUAAUUAAUGGAAAUUAUUUAAUAGAAAGAAAAUAGAAGAACAGAUGAGUAGAAUACUUUGAAAAAGUGAUUUAUUUCUUAUUAGAGAUUUUUGAAAAAUAUAUACAUAAUAUAUAUAUAUAUUAUGUAUUUUUAAAAAUUGCAAUGUAAAUAUAAAUUCAUAUUAUUAUUAUUGAAACUUAAUAUUUUAUAUAAAAUUGUUGAAAUUUAAUAUAAAAUUUUUAUUUUUUAUUUUUCAUAGAAAAUAAAUUUUUAAUUCUAUAUAUAUAGUAAAUAUUUGUACUAUUUUUACUUUUUUUUUUUUAUAUUAUGUUAUUAAUAGGAUAAUUUUAUAAGAGAUUUUAUAACGAUAUACGAACGGAUAUUAUAGCCAAUAACAAAUUUUUCCAUUAAAUCGAAAUACUGCAAUAUAUAUUAUAAGUAUACUAUAAGUAUAAUACAUACAAAUAUAUUAUAAUACGAAUAAAUAAAAUAUAAAAUUUAAAUAUAAUGUACAUAUUUAUAAUUAUGCAUACAUAUAAAUGCAAGAUAUUCGUGGGAGAUACAAAUUAUGGCAAUUUUAAAGAUUAUAAUAAAUAUAAAAUAAACAUAAAAAUUGUAUAAAACAGUAGCUUUAUCUUGGUUGCACCAUCAUCCGUAUACAUGUAUAACAUUUCGUAUACAUAUCAAUGUAUAUACGAUGUUAUAACGAAAUUUUACAACCAUUAAACGAUAUAUGAAAUAGGAUAUCUCAUCGCUAUAGUUAUGUCUAUUUCAAGCAUUCAACGAUUUCUUUAUUAUUCUUAAGUAUUUAGAGUUAUCCAAGAAAUACUAAUAUAACGUAGAUCAGUCAUGUAAUAUUAUUUGAAGAAUAAGAAUAAAAAAAUCAUAAAAAAAUCAGUGAAUUUUAUGAAUGACUUUUUAUGAAUGGCUGAAAGGAAAAUGCACGUGCAUAUGGACCGAACGUAUAGAAGUACCUUUAUGGCUUGGAAGACCUGCCGGUUUCCUCUAAAGGCUUCUGCAGAAAAUCUGCCGGAUAUUUUCAUUCAUAGUCUGAAAACCAUGUGCAUCUUUCCACGUGAUUCACUUCUCCAUUUUCGACGAUUUAAAUAAUCAUCAAUUACUCCAAAAUUCACGUUUUGUCUGCUUUUUUUUCUCUUUCUCUCUCUCUCAAUUAAAUGUCUCUACACUUUUUCAUUUUGAAAUUUUUACUUUCUUCUAAUUAUUUGAUGAUGAACAAAUAAUUAUGAGAUAUAAUACAAGUAUAUAAUAUUUGUUAUGCGAUAUAUAUAUAUAUCUAAGGUUUGAAUAUAUUUUAAUCUUAAACUUUUAUAUUUAACACAAUCUAUAUCUAAAUUAUUGUUUUAUAUUUAUAUUAAUAAAUAUUUAACAUUUUUGUAACAUUUUUGCACCGUUUUUCUUAACAGUACUCUUUGUUCUUCUUUCUGUUUUUGUACAAACUUUUUAUUUUUUUCUCAAACAUUUUUGAAAAAAAUUCCUUUUUCUUUUUAAUUUCAAUAAGUAUAUAAAACACGUUUUACCUACACUGUCUCACAAUUAAAUUUUCAGUCUGAUUUUGAAGCACAAAGAAGACAUAAUCACACUUUGCACGUUUUCUCUGCCAUUAAACACACUUGGAUCAUUAAGAAGAAUCUAAAGAAAACAGAUUAAAUCACUAAUCAAGUAAGUUAACUUCAAUCACACCAAAUUUUGAUUUUUAACUUGAAUUAAAAUAUUCUUGAAAUUUCUCCAAUUUAGAUCAAUCUCGAGGCAAGAAGAGGAAAUUUUAAGGGAUGGCAUCGUAUGCUACUGUCAUGCUGGCACGAUGGCUUGUCAAUGUGUCUUAACUAACUAGAGAUCUACCACCUACUAUCACCCACUCUCACCCCUUACUCACUGACUACUGCUUCGACCCCACUCCACUACGGGCCGGCCUUUUCGUCGCUCUCUUUUUUCCUUCAUCGUAUUUGCCUUGUUCCACGCACAUAUCAUCCUCCUCUUCCACAUGUGCUUACCCCUACCUUAAAUAACGUUAACCUUCCAUGCUUCCACCGUAAGGUGUUUUGCUAAAGAGAUUUGCAAGAUUUCAAUUUUGCUUAAAGUUAAAUGUGAAUGCGACGAUUUUCAUUCGAUUACUUUGAAUGGAAUAAUAUCGGAGUUGGUUGAAAUUAACCCGUUCAGAGUGAUUUAAUAGAGAUUUAGAUAGUAAUACAAAUUUUACAUUGUAAAUAUUGCUACAUGUAGAUCAGUGAAUAAAUAAGUUAGCCUUUUCUUUAACUUUGUAUAAUACCAUAUAACUAGAAAUUACGAAUUAUUUUACGUUUCACGCGUUAUUCAGAAAUCAUAAUUUAUUUCACUUAAAAUUUAUUUCAGAUGAUCAAUUUUAUACAAUUUGUCUUAUGAAUCCUUAAAUUCUAUAUCAUAAUGAAAUAUAUAUAUAGAUUUAUAAAAUUUAUUUUAAUAUAAGUACAUAUAGUUAUAUAUUUAUCGAAGUAUUUUACAUAAUUUAUCAAUGGCAAUAUUUUUUCUAGAAUAAUACAAGACACGACUUUAUAGUAGUUUUCUAAUGUUCGAAAGAAUAUUCAAUUAAAAAUAUGACGAAAAAAUUACACCUUGAAACAUAGAGUUAAAUCUAUAAUUAAUUCUUAAAAGAAAAAAUAUAUAAUAUCCAUAUAAGAUUUUGAUUAAAUGUUUAUCAUCUAUUUACAACAUACUUAAAUACUUAUUAUAAAAAAUAAAUCAUAUCAAUUUCUUCACCGAAAAGUCCCUGUCAAAAAAUAAAUCGAUCUUCAAAACCAGUUAAAACAACAAUCAACAUUUAUUUUGCCGAAAAAUCAUUGGAACAUCAAUACUUUCAAUAUUCAUCUAAAAAAACCAGUGGAUCUAGAAACAUCCAUUCACCGCAAGGAUCAAAAGAAGAGAAAAACAAAAUCAUCCAUUCAAAACAUAUCACACUCCCGAUCGUAUCUAUUACAAUGUAUAAAAGGAUGCAGCAUAGUCUGGAAAGAAUGCCGAUCAGGAGGACGCAAGAACGGUUUGAACGAUAUCCAUGUCCACGGGCGUGUAAGACUCGAGACGUUCGAAUACACGGGUUGGCCGUCGUCGAUGCCGACGACACGAGAUACUAAUCGUUCAUUCGGCGAUCGGUGAUCGGGGGCCUUCUUCGAGUCUGGUUCAGCGCUACACCGAUAUCCCCUGUUGCCAGGGCGGGACGGGGAAGUAGGAUAUUAUUUUCUUCAGAUACCAUUACCACGCCGAUCAUGGUGGUCCUGCCUUGCAGACGAGUGGCCCCGAUACCCUCGAGAUCACUGGCUUGUAAUGCCUUCCCUUUCGUGGAUUAUUGACCAGUGAACGGUGAGCCCGGCUGCGAAACACUCCAACGCUACCUAUUCCACUUGCGACCCUCAACCACCCUUUCGAACGGUCGCUCCUCGUCACUCCGUCACAACUGGAAAUGCUUCUUCCCAUUUGUUGCGUUUCUUCUUGUGCUGGAAUUUUUUCCAUGGCAAAAGGAUGGUAAGUUCUUCGUUUUUCGUGUUUUGCGUGUAAGUACAUGUUUUCCUAUAGUUGCUAAAAAAUCACGCAAUAUUGUAUUACACAUCCAGUUGCAAAAGAUACGAUUCUAGAGAGAAGGAAUUUGAAUAUUUUGAAUCGUUGUAAGGAUAUCAAAGUUAAAAAUUUGGAAUCUUGAUUAAAAGGGUUUGGGCUAAAACCCUUUCGUUCAACGAUAUUUGUAAAUUUUCAGUUAUUUCAUCGUUGCAUCAAAGUCGUUUCUCGAGUGUUAUGAUUUUAUAUGAAGCGUAUCUAUUUUUUUUAUAAUUGAAUUGUAUUAGAAAUAAUUACAUAACAACACAUUGUUUAUUAAAAAUAAAUAAUUAAAAAUUAAAAAUUAAAAUUAAAUAAUCAAUUCUGUCUUCGGAGGAUUUGAGCAGCGUAUAAUAAUGAACUCGUAUAUAAUGAAUAAUAAGUUACAUUUCGUUAUACUAUGUUUUAAUUAAAAUCAAAAUGAGCAAUAAAUUAGAUUAGUAUAUUAAUUUUAUGUUUAUCGAUUUACAAAUGUUUUUACUUUUAUAUAAUUUUGUGAUUAUAUAUAUAUAAGAUUCCUAAAUCUUAGAUAUCAGGAUAUGUAAUUUUUCAAACAUUGAUGUAUUAUUGAUUAAUAUAUAAAUUUUUUGCAUAGUUUAAAUAAUAAUCCUUUAUAAUUUCUUUAGAAUUUACAUAUAUAUGAUACAUAAAUAUUCAUAUUAUAACAUCUCAACAUCGUAGAAAAUUCUAAUUCUUGAUAAAAGUACGUAAAAACAAGUGUGUAAAAAAAUAUGAUAAGAUAUCAUAAAUUGUUUUCAAACAAAUAUCAAAAAUCUUCGAUUAAAUUUUUAUUUGAUUUUUACUGUUUCAUCGUUCAAUUUGAAGGAAUGAAAUUUUUUUUGUAAUGAUCCAAAGUUUCUUGUUUUACGCGUUCCGAUGAGAUUGUUACCCCUAUUCUUUCCAUUCGAGAAUCACAGCAAAUUUUGCAAAUUAAGAUAGAAUGAGUGUGAAACUUGUGGUUUAAUCACAUGAAUACGUUUAUGUUAAUGCAAAUAUUUGAACACUAAAUUCAUGUAACUUGAUAGCAGUGCUAAGAUCAAGUUUAAAUAUGAAGCCUUUGCGUUGUAUUAUUAAAUUGUAACAGAUAUCUUUUUUUUAGAAAAGUUUGUAAAAAUUCUUCACCAACUACUUAUAUCAUACAAAAUUAUAUCUUACGUUGCAUAUUACAGAUCGUCAAAAAAUCGAAGAGUCAAUAUAAUAAACGAUCUUUAAUUUUUAAUUUUAAUUAUUAAGUUUAUAAUUUUAUAGUUCGAUCAAAUACAUUUCAUCUCUGAACAUUUUGUAAAUAUAAAAUUGACAAUAUGAUCUCGAAUGUAAAAUAAUUCUAUCUUUAAUUCAAGAAAUAUAAACUCAUUCAUUAAUCUCUAUUCUAAAUGAUUCACGGAUAAUAAUAUAGUGAUAAUUAUAAUAACUAUUUAAUAACGUGUAAUUUUUUAAAACAAACAACAAUUGUUUAAAACAACGACAAUGAUUUAUGAAAUGAAUUUCUCCAUAAUGACGUUUUUCUUUUCUCAUGAAUUCCAAGAGAGGAAUGAUGGUGGAAGCGUCAUUUCCGGAAUGACAAAAAGCAAUGAUCCGUUGGAUGAGUAAGGCAGUCAAAAUUUGAAAAAAAUGCGAAAUUUCUGAUAGCUGGAAGUGUUGCCUCUCACGAGGGCAGGCGCAUCCGACUAUCGAAUGUCUCGACAUAAUCGCGACCGUCAGGCCGGACACCUGACUACGUAUAGUUCCGAUGUGGACACAGGAAGAGGAAGUCGACCGCACGGUAUGGCAGCGUUUUGCCGUCGACCGUGUGUCAUCCACGUGAACCAUCCAAUGUAUCGAGGAUCAAAUUCGUAUCGUUUUCGAUAAUUUUUUUUUUUUUUUUAUUCUAUAUUAAUAUAUUUAAAGAAAUAUUGUAUGAGAAAAAAUGUAUAGAAUAGAAUUUUCUUGCUUGGAACUAAGUUUCCGAGGGAAAACCGAGUUUCGCCGAAGAUUCGCCGCAAACUUAAAAUUAAUUGUUAAAAUAAUUAUUAAUUAAUAGCAAUAUUAUUUUUUUAAUAGUGUAAUAAAAUCACAAGGAAGUUUAACAUUCAAAACAAGCAAUAACUAUUAGACAAUAAUUAUUUUUUUACUAAGAUUUUUGAUACAUCGAAAAAAGAAAAAAAUAAAUAAAUAAAUCUCAAUUUUUUCAUAUCCAAUAACAAAAAUUUUAUUAAGCAUUUAAUAUAAAAUUUAACAUAUAAACUUUUUAAAUCUAUUCUUGAUAAGAAGUUUAAAGUAAAAGCCGAUUUUUUUCUCAUAAUUAAAUCUCGAAGGAAAAAAAAUUUUGUUUCGCAUUUCUUUUUUCAUAUUUUUUCAUAAAGAAUCAGUCAUUUAUAUCUUAUUCUACCUAAUGUUCGAUCAUAUCUUACACGUACAUGAAAUACAGGGGGAAAAAUAUGUUAUGUAAUUAAAAAUAAAAAAAAAAGAAACAAGAGAUUCAAGGAGAAAAGUGAAGAGGAGAAAGUGAGAACGAGGAAAAGGGGAGAGGAUAUAAGAAGGAGGAGAAUAAAAGGGUCACGCAGAAGAGCUCACAGUACGCCGAGUGCACACCCUGGGUAUUGGCUUACACUUCCAACUGAUUAGGCUCAUGGUAUUUACGCAGGACCCCGUAGAAAACCGGACCCCGCCCUCUCUCUUUCGAUGGUAACUCACGAUUCCAAGGAAUUGUAACGAGCUGCUUUCUUGCAUCGCGACAUUCUUCACCAUCAAAACUGGGGGGAGUGGAUACUUGAAUGAAGAUGGUUGGCCGUGAUCAAAACUCAAAUCAAAACUUAAUAUUUGAGAAAUAUUAUUAUAUCGGUUAAAUAAUAAUGGAAUAGAUAUUUUGAAUUUGGUUGUGUUGUGUGAUUUUAGAUAAUUAAUUUUUUAUACAUAUACAUUAUAUUUUUUACUAAAGAGUAAUACCCAGGGUAGAUACUUUUAUAUUAUGAUUAAGAAUAUUUAUUUAUUUUUGAAGAGUUUAUAAUUUUUUACAAAAACAUAAUUAAUAAGUAAUUUCGUUAUUCGUGCACUUAUAAUUAAGAAAAUUGUAAAAAUUGAUAUAAUUUUAUAUUUGAAAUUUAUUUUCUAAAAAUAUUUCUCUUUAAAAUUUAAAUUUUUCUAGCAUUUUAUAAAUAUGAUAAAUAUAAUGUAUUUAUUCCAAUAUUUAUUAUAAUAUGAUCAUAAAACAAUUUUUCGCCUGAUACAAAAUAUAAUACAAUGAAAAAUAUUAAAUCAAUUAAUGACACAA